GCCAAUAAGACGAGAAGAUAAAAGUCCAAGCUGGCUUCAGUAGUUUCGUACGGUCAGGGAGAGAGGCUGCAAUGAAGAGCGUUACACUAACGGGUUCACGGAAGAAAUGGAACUGAUGGUCACACAGAUUUAUGGAGGCAGACAUCCAAACCUAGAUUGGACCUCCAGGAGAGAUGAGUGUGGCCACUGGGAUGUGCACAUUUAUGGACUUAAAGGUGCCCCAACCAACCUUCUUAUCAAGCCUCUCUUCCACCGCUACCACCUCUUAGCGAGCCUCUGGUGGGACGGGUUCAUCCUCUGGCUCUGUCUGUGCUGAGACUUAAUUAUGAUAUGCCACAGCAACGUCAGCCCCAAGUAUUGGCUGAGAUGGAGUCAACUUUAGCAGCAGUGAUGCAGCAUCAUAAUGCACAGUACGUAAGUCUUGUUUGUAUGUGUAUGUACUUGUAACAGUAUAUUGUUCAUAUGUUGCGUUUGUUCCUAGAAAGUCUGUCAUUUACCAGUUUGAAACGGCACUGGGUUCAUUCCAUUAACUGGCUUUGGACAACGUGAUGUCAUAUGCUUUUAUUGCCAGAUCUAACCUAAGCCAUGCACAUGUUGGAUUAUUUGUUGCACAUGCAGCCCAUGUCCAGUCAGUCUGUGAAGAUGUCCUGGUCAGUUCUUUACAGGUCUGUGUGGUAGUUGGUUGUUUAGGCUAUAGACUAGUUCACAUUUGUGUCACGGUGGACAUGAAUGAGUGAGGUGCCAAAAGACUCAACGCUGAUAAUAUUUCAUCUUCUAUAUUUGCAUAAAUCAAAUUUAAACCUUGUUUUCUCACCCAAUGGUUGGUGUCAGCACAACAGAGCUAAGAUUUGACAUUUACUUGGUUUAUUCUAGUUCAUUAACUCUGAAAACAUUUAAAAAUCACACUCCUGCUGUGGACCCGUUUUUUUGUGGGCAGUACCAAGAUCAUAAGGCGCAUAAACCAACCUCGUGUCAAGCCAACACCUCCGUCUCCUGCAGAGGAGCUCCGCAAUGGGGAAAUCCACAGGUCAGCAAGAAAUUAAAAAGUUGGUGGAGGAAGAGGAAGAGGAGGAUGAUGGUGACCAUGAGGAGGACAAGACCAGAGAUUUUGAAGAAAAGGACAGUGACUCAUCCUCAGAAGAUAUGUAUAAGUGAAAACAGAAGCAAGUUAAUCACAAUAGUUCCCUAA
RNAcentral lists this long non-coding RNA (1189 nucleotides) under Betta splendens (Siamese fighting fish). Its description in RNAcentral is "lncRNA (ENSBSLG00000021196.1)". The record is from RNAcentral. Lineage: Eukaryota; Metazoa; Chordata; Actinopteri; Anabantiformes; Osphronemidae.